RNAcentral lists this ribosomal RNA (511 nucleotides) under uncultured bacterium. RNAcentral's name for it is "bacterial SSU rRNA". It matches the Rfam family "Bacterial small subunit ribosomal RNA", at positions 28 to 533 of the family's 1533-position model. The record is from RNAcentral.
GAUGAACGCUAGCGACAGGCAUAACACAUGCAAGUCGAGGGGCAUCGGGGCGUAGCAAUACGCUGCCGGCGACCGGCGGAUGGGUGAGUAACGCGUAUGCAACCUGCCUUCAGCAGGGGGAUAGCCCGUUGAAAGACGGAUUAAUACCCCGUAACACAGGGGCUCCGCAUGGAGAUUAUUGUUAAAGGGAUACUUCCUUCGGGGGUAUUCCGGCUGAAGAUGGGCAUGCGUUCCAUUAGGUAGUUGGUUGAGGUAACGGCUCACCAAGCCUACGAUGGAUAGGGGAACUGAGAGGUUGGUCCCCCACACUGGUACUGAGACACGGACCAGACUCCUACGGGGGGCAGCAGUGGGAAUAUUGCACAAUGGGCGAAAGCCUGAUGCAGCGACGCCGCGUGGGCGAAGAAGGCCUUCGGUUGUAAGCCCUGUCUGGAGGGACGAAGUAAUGACGGUACCUCCGGAGGAAGCCGACGGCGUAACUACGUGCCAGCAGCCGCGGUAAUCAUACUCG